GACGAACGCUGGCGGCGUGCUUAACACAUGCAAGUCGAACGGAAAGGCCCUGCUUUUGUGGGGUGCUCGAGUGGCGAACGGGUGAGUAACACGUGAGUAACCUGCCCUUGACUUUGGGAUAACUUCAGGAAACUGGGGCUAAUACCGGAUAGGAGCUCCUGCUGCAUGGGGGGGGUUGGAAAGUUUCGGCGGUUGGGGAUGGACUCGCGGGUUAUCAGCUUGUUGGUGGGGUAGUGGCUUACCAAGGCUUUGACGGGUAGCCGGCCUGAGAGGGUGACCGGCCACAUUGGGACUGAGAUACGGCCCAGACUCCUACGGGAGGCAGCAGUGGGGAAUAUUGCACAAUGGGCGGAAGCCUGAUGCAGCAACGCCGCGUGCGGGAUGACGGCCUUCGGGUUGUAAACCGCUUUCGCCUGUGACGAAGCGUGAGUGACGGUAAUGGGUAAAGAAGCACCGGCUAACUACGUG
Molecule: ribosomal RNA, 468 nt
Filed under: uncultured bacterium
Lineage: Bacteria
Description: partial 16S ribosomal RNA
Rfam family: Bacterial small subunit ribosomal RNA
Source: RNAcentral